Molecule: long non-coding RNA, 1095 nt
Filed under: Parus major (Great Tit)
Lineage: Eukaryota; Metazoa; Chordata; Aves; Passeriformes; Paridae
Description: lncRNA (ENSPMJG00000007572.1)
Source: RNAcentral
UACCAGAAAAUGUGUGGAACAAGGAUGAAACUUCUGUGUCUUAGAGUCUUCUUUAUCAUCAGUACAAAGGAGAUAAAAAGCUGCCUCAGUAGAAUGACUGGUGAUAAAAUUAAACUAUAAAACUCUCUGAACCUUGAGUUUAAAACAGGGAAGCUUCUUCCUAGGUUUCUUUCUGUUCUACAGAUUUAUUUUUUUUUUGUAACACAGAUUAUAAAGCAUAAAUGUAAUGUAGCAUAAGCUCUAUGGAGAUUGCUUUGUUUUUGCCCUGAGAGCCAGGGAGGUUCUGCUCCCUAGAAAUUGCUUUAAAUUUGUUUAAAAUUCUUUUAAAUAAGAUCUGCAUCCAGAAUAUCUGCCAUCACUGACCUCUGGUGUAAAAUGAUGUAGAAGUAUUCCAAAUAAAUAAUCAAGUUCUUCUGUAGUUGUCAAGCAGCAGGCAGCCAGACUGUGCCAUACUCUGUGUGUUCUUCUUUCGAGGGAAGCCUUGGAAGAGGGUCCUUGACUGAGGUCUAAGCAAGAAGAAACAGUAAAAAGAACAAAGUCUCCAAUGCUCAUGAAAAAAAGUGGCCUUUUAUCAAACCUGCAGAGAAAUUAAAUUUUUCAACUUCUGAAGGAUUAUUAACUUCAAAGUCUGAAGAAAUGUCGGCCUUCUAUGCUUGGAAAUGCCAGCAGCUUUUGCAUAUCCCCACCACAGUACCAAGAAACCCCCAGCAGAGAGAAACGAUUACUGCCUCCAUGGCAUAAGGAUGGCUUUUGAUCUCCUAACAUAUUGGAAAUUACUUAAAGAAUUUAUUACUGAAGACUUUUAAUAUGACAGAAAUCUUUCUCAUUACCAUUAAGAGAUUCUGCUUAGUCAACAGAUAUUCAUGGCCUUACAUGGAUCAGUAUUUAACAACUGUGGUUACAUGCCAACUCAGUAAUACACAUAUAUGGCUUUUAGUACCACAGCACUCAGCUGCCCCCUUCAACAAGGAAUGCUGCAAGCUGCAGAGCCAUGCUGACUAUCCUUAUAGCUCAAAGAAUCAACACAAAGAAGAACUUUGGCAAAAAGGAAUGUGUUUUUGCUUUUUCCUCGGUCCACAAGACAUGGUAACCUGA